Molecule: non-coding RNA, 365 nt
Organism: Drosophila suzukii
Lineage: Eukaryota; Metazoa; Arthropoda; Insecta; Diptera; Drosophilidae
Source: RefSeq, a predicted model, not a curated record
CAUUAACAUUCGGAAAGUGAAAAGAGAAAUUUUGAGGUUUGAGCAACAAAAAGAGACCACAAGGACCUGCUUUAAUUUCGAUGCCCAAACUUAUGCAGUCUACUUGAGAAUUUCCGUUAUCAUGGGCGCAGCUUGGAUUUUUCAUUCCAUUACUGAACUUCUUAAAUUUGACGACUAUUACUUUGGUUUAAUCGGAACUUUAAUCCAUUUCUUUUUUGGUAUUAUCCAUUUUUUUUUGCUUAUCCUUAAGCGAAGCACCCUAAAGCUUUUAAUAGAUAGCUUUCAUGAAAGAAGGAAUGAGAAGCGAGUCCGUGCUCAGAGGAAAAAAGACCUGGCACAAAUAUCUAAACACAUCCAGAAAAAAA